RNAcentral lists this transfer RNA (84 nucleotides) under Echinostoma caproni. It matches the Rfam family "tRNA". From Rfam's summary of the family: Transfer RNA (tRNA) molecules are approximately 80 nucleotides in length. Their secondary structure includes four short double-helical elements and three loops (D, anti-codon, and T loops). The record is from Rfam by way of RNAcentral. Lineage: Eukaryota; Metazoa; Platyhelminthes; Trematoda; Plagiorchiida; Echinostomatidae.
GCCCUUGUAGCUCAGCUGGAAGAGCGUGCGCUACACAAAAGCGAUGGCAGAGUUUAUGCGUGGGUUCGAAUCCCAUCGAGGUUA